GACGAACGCUGGCGGCGUGCUUAACACAUGCAAGUCGAACGGAAAGGCCCCUUUGGGGGUACUCGAGUGGCGAACGGGUGAGAAACACGUGAGUAACCUGCCCUUGACUUCGGGAUAACUUCAGGAAACUGGGGCUAAUACCGGAUAGGAAUCCUUGCUGCAUGGUGGGGGUUGGAAAGCUUCGGCGGUUUUGGAUGGACUCGCGGCUUAUCAGCUUGUUGGUGGGGUAGUGGCUUACCAAGGCUUUGACGGGUAGCCGGCCUGAGAGGGCGACCGGCCACAUUGGGACUGAGAUACGGCCCAGACUCCUACGGGAGGCAGCAGUGGGGAAUAUUGCACAAUGGGCGGAAGCCUGAUGCAGCAACGCCGCGUGCGGGAUGACGGCCUUCGGGUUGUAAACCGCUUUCAGCAGGGGCGAAGCUUGUGGUGACGGUACCUGCAGAAGAAGCACCGGCUAACUACGUG
This 465-nucleotide ribosomal RNA is filed under the name uncultured bacterium. RNAcentral describes it as "partial 16S ribosomal RNA". It matches the Rfam family "Bacterial small subunit ribosomal RNA", at positions 28 to 507 of the family's 1533-position model. The record is from RNAcentral.